GAUCUCAUCAUCGACAUCAUCGAAACUUCUUUCGAUAGACCAGAACUCUUCUGAUUCAGACAAUUAGAAUGAUCGAUCAUCAAUAUCAUUCUAAUUACUCUCAAAAUCCAUCAGUGACACCUAGCAGUAUGUGGUGGCAACCCAUCAGAACUGAAGAUGAACCUCUCGGUGCAGCUUCCUGUGUGAUUGAGUUACUCUAUCAUGAGUCCCGACUGAAUUAGGGUUAAGGUGAACUCGUCAAACCCAACAUCAGUCAUAUGAGUUAAUCGAUUGAUCCGAGUC
This 282-nucleotide long non-coding RNA is filed under the name Elaeis guineensis (African oil palm). Its description in RNAcentral is "long non-coding RNA (EGUI_LNC067819)". The record is from RNAcentral. Lineage: Eukaryota; Viridiplantae; Streptophyta; Magnoliopsida; Arecales; Arecaceae.